Molecule: ribosomal RNA, 804 nt
Filed under: Triticum aestivum (bread wheat)
Lineage: Eukaryota; Viridiplantae; Streptophyta; Magnoliopsida; Poales; Poaceae
Description: partial small subunit ribosomal RNA
Source: RNAcentral
AUGGACGCAUGCGCCGGCACCCCGCUCACCCCAUCCUAUAGCCGCGACCCCUCCACCGCCGCCGCCGCCGCAAACCCUAGCCCGGGUGGCGUUGGCCUCGCCUCCGCCGGAGCUCCUCCGACCAUCGGCCUCGCGCACGGCCUCUUCAUGCCGCCGCGGAUGACCUCGGCGGCGGGUGGCGUCGCACCGGCGCCGGCCCGAGCCGCCGCCCCCUCCUCAACGCUCCCCAAUGCGGCGCGGCCAAAGAAGGGCAAGACAUCGGCGAAGAAAAACAAGGCGGCGGACGGCUCCGGCACCUCAAAGGCGAGGAGGAAGAAGCUUGCAGGGCGUGCGACAGGCGCGGCGGCUACCGAAGCGCCAGCGAGCUCACUCGUUGAGCCGGCGGCCGACGCGCACAACAUGUUCGACGAAAUGCCCCUAAGUCUUAAUGAUGAUGCAUACAUGUCAACGAUGGGUGUUGGCUCCAACAAUUCGCAUUGGUCUCAAACCAAUGACAUGCAUUUCGAAGACCAUGAGUUCGAGGUGGACGAGGAGGGUGAGGGCAUUGUCGACGCACCGAAAGGAAGAGCGGGCAAUUACACCAACGUCGAUGACAUCUUACUAUGCAAUACUUGGUUGCAAGUGUCAAGGGAUCCAUCCGUUGGAGGUGAUCAAAGUAGAGAUGCCGUUGAAGAUCUUGCCAACACCGUCGGAGCUUCACGUGAUGCGGUGCGCGAUGAGGAGAGGGAGGAAGAUUUAUCUUCGGAGGCGGAAGAAUCGUCUUCCGAAGAUGAGGACGAGGACGAAGACGAGGACGAGGAAUGA